ACUAUGAUCCCAUAGGAUCCGCUAGGCGCCAACGUUCGGAUGAGCCAAACCACUAGCGC
RNAcentral lists this non-coding RNA (59 nucleotides) under unclassified sequences. RNAcentral describes it as "MDR-NUDIX RNA". It matches the Rfam family "MDR-NUDIX RNA". The record is from RNAcentral.